Molecule: unclassified non-coding RNA, 284 nt
Filed under: Hevea brasiliensis (rubber tree)
Lineage: Eukaryota; Viridiplantae; Streptophyta; Magnoliopsida; Malpighiales; Euphorbiaceae
Source: RNAcentral
AGAUUAUUAUAAGAUUUAACAUAAAAAUUGUAAUUACACCAUCAGAGACUAAUUGUCUCACAUUUUCAUGUCCUAAGUUUUUAUGUAUAGACUUUCAAUCGUACAUUUUACUAUAAGCUUUAGACAUCGUGAUUUGACAAUCACAAUGUAAAGAAAUAAAUAACACAAGUUGUGGCCACAAUUUAAUAUUCAAUAACAAGUUUAUUAGCCAUUCUGCUUGUUUACAUGCAGCUACCAACGCUAUAAGCUUGGAUUCAAUUGUAGAAUGAGUUAUACAAGUUUGU